Molecule: ribosomal RNA, 433 nt
Filed under: uncultured bacterium
Lineage: Bacteria
Description: partial 16S ribosomal RNA
Rfam family: Bacterial small subunit ribosomal RNA
Source: RNAcentral
AGCGAACGCUGGCGGCAGGCCUAACACAUGCAAGUCGAACGAACUCUUCGGAGUUAGUGGCGGACGGGUGAGUAACACGUGGGAACGUGCCUUUUGGUUCGGAAUAACUCAGGGAAACUUGUGCUAAUACCGAAUGUGCCCUUCGGGGGAAAGAUUUAUCGCCAUUAGAGCGGCCCGCGUCUGCUUAGCUAGUUGGUGAGGUAACGGCGCACCACGGCGUCGAUCAGUAGCUGGUCUGAGAGGAUGACCAGCCACACUGGGACUGAGACACGGCCCAGACUCCUACGGGAAGCAGCAGUGGGGAAUCUUGCGCAACGGGCGAAAGCCUGACGCAGCCAUGCCGGGUGAAUGAUGAAGGUCUUAGGAUUGUAAAAUUCUUUCACCGGGGACGAUAAUGACGGUACCCGGAGAAGAAGCCCCGGCUAACUUUGUG